UGAGACCUCUUGAUGGUCGCGGCAUUAUACAAGGUAUAAUGCUGAGGAACUUCCGGGCUCCACAGAGCACGAUGGCGGAUAACGUCCGCCCAGGGCAACCUGAGAGAUAGCGCAACAGAAAGCAAACCGCUGUCUUGUUCUCCUUUCCACCGAGUGUGGGAACUGCUGAAAGCAGGGAGGAAGACAGGAUAGUAAGGGUGAAACGGCGGUGUAAGAGACCACCAAGUCGAUGGCAACAUUAGACUGUUAGGCAAGCCUCAUCGGGAGCAAGGCCAAGUAGGAGACGAUAAGAGCUGCUCGUUCGAGUCUCCGGGUAGGCUGCUGGAGCCUAGCGGCAACGUUAGGUCGAGAUGGAUGACCAUCCGUUUAACGACAGAACCCGGGGUAUAAGAGGUCUCACUUU
Molecule: RNase P RNA, 403 nt
Filed under: Scardovia inopinata F0304
Lineage: Bacteria; Bacillati; Actinomycetota; Actinomycetes; Bifidobacteriales; Bifidobacteriaceae
Description: Bacterial RNase P class A
Rfam family: Bacterial RNase P class A
About the family: Ribonuclease P (RNase P) is a ubiquitous endoribonuclease, found in archaea, bacteria and eukarya as well as chloroplasts and mitochondria. Its best characterised activity is the generation of mature 5'-ends of tRNAs by cleaving the 5'-leader elements of precursor-tRNAs.
Source: Rfam by way of RNAcentral